RNAcentral lists this ribosomal RNA (253 nucleotides) under uncultured bacterium. RNAcentral's name for it is "partial 16S ribosomal RNA". It matches the Rfam family "Bacterial small subunit ribosomal RNA", at positions 524 to 776 of the family's 1533-position model. The record is from RNAcentral.
UACGAAGGGUGCAAGCGUUACUCGGAAUUACUGGGCGUAAAGCGUGCGUAGGUGGUGAGUUAAGUCUGUCGUGAAAGCCCCGGGCUCAACCUGGGAAUGGCGAUGGAUACUGGCUCGCUAGAGUGCGGUAGAGGAGAGUGGAAUUCCCGGUGUAGCAGUGAAAUGCGUAGAGAUCGGGAGGAACAUCAGUUGCGAAGGCGGCUCACUGGCUCGGUACUGACGCUGAGGUGCGAAAGCGUGGGGAGCAAACAGG